Molecule: long non-coding RNA, 846 nt
Organism: Salvia miltiorrhiza (redroot sage)
Lineage: Eukaryota; Viridiplantae; Streptophyta; Magnoliopsida; Lamiales; Lamiaceae
Exons: 3
Source: RefSeq, a predicted model, not a curated record
CCCCGUUUCCCUGAGUUAAAUUUAGAAUUUAUUUUCAAAAUUUAGAAGUAAGAUGAUUCACGCCGGAUAUAAAGAAAAUGAAUUUAUUUUAAUUCCAACAAACGAUUUGCAAAAUCCUCUUUGUAAAUGUUAGUCAUUUAAAUUCUUAUGCAUUUCAUAUUUAUUUAAAUUGAAUAUUAAGCAUUUAACAUCUACACGAGCUAUUUAUUUAAGCAAACACUGAACGAUUAUUACAGUUUUCAUAAUACAACCCGGAAGACCUUAUUUUAUAUUACUCUCCCACCUACUUCCUUCCACCUACUCCCUCUCACACCCACCUACUCCCUUCUUUUUGCAAACUUAAUAUAGCUGGUUGAUCCGAGCUUCCAUUUUCUAUCCUCCACAAUCAUCCCACAUAUUUCAUCUCCCUCAUCAAUUUUCAGCACAUCAGCUACUGAACAAAUUCAGAAGAUUUGCAGAAUGAUAACCCAACAGAUUUCUUUUGAAGGCUUUGUGGACCAAGGGGAUUAGCGCUGCUUUCCCAAGACAGGUUAUGUGAUUAUGAUCUUCAGGCUUUGCCUAAUCAGGUUGAGCAGUUGAUGGAAUGGAAUGAUGUUGAGCGGGUGUUCCUUUGACAUUUCAAGAAAUGUAACCUUGAGUAUACAUCUUCAUAUGUAUAUCUCACACGUUUUCCGCUGCAAAACACUUCGAUUAGGAUAGCUCUAUGAUAUGAAGUUGUGAUACGUGUUAUUGGGUAACCACCUUAAUCAGUUCUCAAUUAUGUGUAUGUUUUAUAAGUAUCCAAAUAAUCAUAUAUGAUCCUAGUAUUUUAUCUAUGAGUGACAUUUCCAUAUACUUUAAUGUUAA